ACUCUAGUGAACGAAAUCAACAAUAGAUCUCAUCGGUUUGCGAAACUGAUGACAGCACAGCUCAGUGCAGUGGAUUACUUUGACGAUUUUGCGUGCAAACUAAUCAUAGCCAACCUUGCAAAAGCGGAAAAUUAUUUAAAUUCC
Molecule: long non-coding RNA, 144 nt
Organism: Bradysia coprophila
Lineage: Eukaryota; Metazoa; Arthropoda; Insecta; Diptera; Sciaridae
Source: RefSeq, a predicted model, not a curated record